RNAcentral lists this ribosomal RNA (642 nucleotides) under Pseudomonas sp. RNAcentral describes it as "bacterial SSU rRNA". It matches the Rfam family "Bacterial small subunit ribosomal RNA", at positions 60 to 697 of the family's 1533-position model. Lineage: Bacteria; Pseudomonadati; Pseudomonadota; Gammaproteobacteria; Pseudomonadales; Pseudomonadaceae. The record is from RNAcentral.
AGUCGAGCGGUAGAGAGAAGCUUGCUUCUCUUGAGAGCGGCGGACGGGUGAGUAAUGCCUAGGAAUCUGCCUGGUAGUGGGGGAUAACGUUCGGAAACGGACGCUAAUACCGCAUACGUCCUACGGGAGAAAGCAGGGGACCUUCGGGCCUUGCGCUAUCAGAUGAGCCUAGGUCGGAUUAGCUAGUUGGUGGGGUAAUGGCUCACCAAGGCGACGAUCCGUAACUGGUCUGAGAGGAUGAUCAGUCACACUGGAACUGAGACACGGUCCAGACUCCUACGGGAGGCAGCAGUGGGGAAUAUUGGACAAUGGGCGAAAGCCUGAUCCAGCCAUGCCGCGUGUGUGAAGAAGGUCUUCGGAUUGUAAAGCACUUUAAGUUGGGAGGAAGGGCAGUUACCUAAUACGUAUCUGUUUUGACGUUACCGACAGAAUAAGCACCGGCUAACUCUGUGCCAGCAGCCGCGGUAAUACAGAGGGUGCAAGCGUUAAUCGGAAUUACUGGGCGUAAAGCGCGCGUAGGUGGUUUGUUAAGUUGGAUGUGAAAUCCCCGGGCUCAACCUGGGAACUGCAUUCAAAACUGACUGACUAGAGUAUGGUAGAGGGUGGUGGAAUUUCCUGUGUAUCGGUGAGAUGCGUAGAUAU